RNAcentral lists this ribosomal RNA (255 nucleotides) under uncultured bacterium. RNAcentral's name for it is "partial 16S ribosomal RNA". It matches the Rfam family "Bacterial small subunit ribosomal RNA", at positions 524 to 776 of the family's 1533-position model. The record is from RNAcentral.
UACGUAGGCAGCGAGCGUUGUUCGGAGUUACUGGGCGUAAAGGGUGUGUAGGCGGUUGUUUUAAGUUUGGUGUGAAAUCUCCCGGCUCAACUGGGAGGGUGCGCCGAAUACUGAAUGGACUCGAGUGCGGGAGAGGAAAGUGGAAUUCCUGGUGUAGCGGUGAAAUGCGUAGAUAUCAGGAGGAACACCGGUGGUGUAGACGGCUUUCUGGACCGUAACUGACGCUGAGACACGAAAGCGUGGGUAGCAAACAGG